GUAGGGAAUAUUGGGCAAUGGUCGGAAGACUGACCCAGCCAUGCCGCGUGCAGGAAGACGGCCCUCUGGGUUGUAAACUGCUUUUAUCUGGGAAGAAAAAGGCCAUGCGUGGCAAAUUGCCGGUACCAGAUGAAUAAGCACCGGCUAACUCCGUGCCAGCAGCCGCGGUAAUACGGAGGGUGCGAGCGUUGUCCGGAUUUAUUGGGUUUAAAGGGUGCGUAGGCGGCUGAUAAAGUCAGCGGUGAAAGACUUCGGCUUAACCGGAGCAGUGCCGUUGAUACUGGUUGGCUUGGGUGUCGGAGGGGUACAUGGAAUUGAUGGUGUAGCGGUGAAAUGCAUAGAUACCAUCAGGAACACCGAUAGCGAAGGCAUUGUACUGGCCGACAACUGACGCUGAUGCACGAAAGUGUGGGGAUCGAACAGGAUUAGAUACCCGAGUAGUCC
Molecule: ribosomal RNA, 444 nt
Filed under: uncultured bacterium
Lineage: Bacteria
Description: partial 16S ribosomal RNA
Rfam family: Bacterial small subunit ribosomal RNA
Source: RNAcentral